UGGUGAAACAGGUACCCUAACCACAA
RNAcentral lists this non-coding RNA (26 nucleotides) under Mus musculus (house mouse). The record is from RNAcentral. Lineage: Eukaryota; Metazoa; Chordata; Mammalia; Rodentia; Muridae.